AUUGAACGCUGGCGGGAGGCUUUACACAUGCAAGUCGAACGAGUGGCGGACGGGUGAGUAAUGUAUCGGAACGUGCCCAAUAGCGGGGGAUAACUACUCGAAAGGGUUGCUAAUACCGCAUACUAUUAGAUCUGCCCAUAUCGGAUUAGCUAGUUGGUGGGGUAACGGCUCACCAAGGCGACGAUCCCUAGCUGGUUUGAGAGGACGACCAGCCACACUGGGACUGAGACACGGCCCAGACUCCUACGGGAGGCAGCAGUGGGGAAUAUUGGACAAUGGGCGAAACCCGGAUCCAGCCAUCCCGCGUGUAUGAGAAGGCCUUCGGGUUGUAAAGUACUUUUGGCAGAGAAGCGGUAUCUGCAGAAGAAGCACCGGCUAACUACGUGCCAGCAGCCGCGGUAAUUC
RNAcentral lists this ribosomal RNA (405 nucleotides) under uncultured bacterium. Its description in RNAcentral is "partial 16S ribosomal RNA". It matches the Rfam family "Bacterial small subunit ribosomal RNA", at positions 30 to 526 of the family's 1533-position model. The record is from RNAcentral.